UACGUAGGGUGCAAGCGUUGUCCGGAUUUACUGGGCGUAAAGAGCUUGUAGGCGGCCACGCAGGUCCGUUGUGAAAACUGGAGGCUCAACCUUCAGACGUCGACGGAAACCGUGUGGCUAGAGUCCGGAAGAGGAGAGUGGAAUUCCUGGUGUAGCGGUGAAAUGCGCAGAUAUCAGGAAGAACACCAAUGGCGAAGGCAGCUCUCUGGGACGGUACUGACGCUGAGACGCGAAAGCGUGGGGAGCGAACAGG
This 253-nucleotide ribosomal RNA is filed under the name uncultured bacterium. RNAcentral's name for it is "partial 16S ribosomal RNA". It matches the Rfam family "Bacterial small subunit ribosomal RNA", at positions 524 to 776 of the family's 1533-position model. The record is from RNAcentral.